RNAcentral lists this ribosomal RNA (502 nucleotides) under uncultured bacterium. RNAcentral describes it as "bacterial SSU rRNA". It matches the Rfam family "Bacterial small subunit ribosomal RNA", at positions 30 to 504 of the family's 1533-position model. The record is from RNAcentral.
UGAACGCUGGCGGCGUGCUUAACACAUGCAAGUCGUACGAGAAAUCUUUUGUUCGCAGAAGAGAGUAAAGUGGCGCACGGGUGAGUAACGCGUGGAUAAUCUGCCUCUGAAUCGGGGAUAACGUUACGAAAGUGACGCUAAUACCGGAUAAUAUCUAGAAUGCUUCGGUUUUUUAGAUCAAAGGGGGCCAAUACAUGUAAGCUUCUGUUUAGAGAUGAGUCCGCGUGCCAUUAGCUUGUUGGUAGGGUAAUGGCCUACCAAGGCUGCGAUGGCUAGCUGGUCUGAGAGGAUGAUCAGCCACACUGGAACUGAGACACGGUCCAGACUCCUACGGGAGGCAGCAGUGAGGAAUCUUGCGCAAUGGGGGAAACCCUGACGCAGCAACGCCGCGUGAGUGAAGAAGGCUUUCGGGUCGUAAAGCUCUGUCAAGUGGGAAGAAUCUGUCCUAUGUUAAUACCAUGGGGCACUGACGGUACCAUUGAAGGAAGCACCGGCUAACUCC